AAUACGUUCCCGGGCCUUGUACACACCGCCCGUCACGUCACGAAAGUCGGUAACACCCGAAGCCGGUGGCCCAACCCGUAAGGGAGGGAGCCGUCGAAGGUGGGAUCGGCGACUGGGACG
RNAcentral lists this ribosomal RNA (120 nucleotides) under uncultured bacterium. RNAcentral's name for it is "partial 16S ribosomal RNA". It matches the Rfam family "Bacterial small subunit ribosomal RNA", at positions 1365 to 1482 of the family's 1533-position model. The record is from RNAcentral.